Molecule: long non-coding RNA, 2420 nt
Organism: Oncorhynchus keta (chum salmon)
Lineage: Eukaryota; Metazoa; Chordata; Actinopteri; Salmoniformes; Salmonidae
Exons: 3
Source: RefSeq, a predicted model, not a curated record
UUGAUUUAUUUAUUGAUUGAUGAUGUUUCUUGUCCUGUGUGUCUAAGUGCCCCAGGUCUGAUGUUACACUAUUGAGAUGUUCCCUAGAUGUGUGUCUAAGUGCCCCAGGUCUGAUGUUACACUAUUGAGAUGCUCCCUAGAUGUGUGUCUAAGUGCCAGGUCCAGGUCUGAUGUUACACUAUUGAGAUGCUCCCUAGAUGUGUGUCUAAGUGCCAGGUCCAGGUCUGAUGUUACACUAUUGAGAUGCUCCCUAGAUGUGUGUCUAAGUGCCAGGUCCAGGUCUGAUGUUAUACUAUUGAGAUGCUCCCUAGAUGUGUGUCUAAGUGCCAGGUCCAGGUCUGAUGUUAUACUAUUGAGAUGCUCCCUAGAUGUGUGUCUAAGUGCCAGGUCCAGGUCUGAUGUUAUACUAUUGAGAUGCUCCCUAGAUGUGUGUCUAAGUGCCCCAGGUCUGAUGUUACACUAUUGAGAUGCCCCCUAGAUGUGUGUCUAAGUGCCCCAGGUCUGAUGUUACACUAUUGAGAUGCUCCCUAGAUGUGUGUCUAAGUGCCCCAGGUCUGAUGUUACACUAUUGAGAUGCUCCCUAGAUGUGUGUCUAAGUGCCCCAGGUCUGAUGUUACACUAUUGAGAUGCUCCCUAGAUGUGUGUCUAAGUGCCCCAGGUCUGAUGUUACACUAUUGAGAUGCUCCCUAGAUGUGUGUCUAAGUGCCCCAGGUCUGAUGUUACACUAUUGAGAUGCUCCCUAGAUGUGUGUCUAAGUGCCCCAGGUCUGAUGUUACACUAUUGAGAUGCUCCCUAGAUGUGUGUCUAAGUGCCCCAGGUCUGAUGUUACACUAUUGAGAUGCCCCCUAGAUGUGUGUCUAAGUGCCCCAGGUCUGAUGUUAUACUAUUGAGAUGCUCCCUAGAUGUGUGUCUAAGUGCCCCAGGUCUGAUGUUACACUAUUGAGAUGCCCCCUAGAUGUGUGUCUAAGUGCCCCAGGUCUGAUGUUACACUAUUGAGAUGCUCCCUAGAUGUGUGUCUAAGUGCCUCAGGUCUGAUGUUACACUAUUGAGAUGCUCCCUAGAUGUGUGUCUAAGUGCCGGGUCCAGGCCUGAUGUUAUACUAUUGAGAUGCUCCCAAGAUGUGUGUCUAAGUGCCAGGUCCAGGCCUGAUGUUACACUAUUGAGAUGCUCCCUAGAUGUGUGUCUAAGUGCCGGGUCCAGGUCUGAUGUUACACUAUUGAGAUGCUCCCUAGAUGUGUGUCUAAGUGCCCCAGGUCUGAUGUUACACUAUUGAGAUGCUCCCUAGAUGUGUGUCUAAGUGCCAGGUCCAGGCCUGAUGUUACACUAUUGAGAUGCUCCCUAGAUGUGUGUCUAAGUGCCGGGUCCAGGUCUGAUGUUACACUAUUGAGAUGCUCCCUAGAUGUGUGUCUAAGUGCCGGGUCCAGGCCUGAUGUUACACUAUUGAGAUGCCCCCUAGAUUAUUUUUAUGUUGUGUAAAAAUUCAAUAAAUAUCCCAAAAAAGAAAUUCACCCCUGGAUAUGUGUUCGGUGUCUGGCCUGGUUCUGAUGUGCUCCAGCCCUCCUUGCUGUGUGUAUGUCCCUGUCAGAAGCAGGAAGGGAGGACGUCUAUGUCACAGAGACAGAUUUACAACAGUGUUCUAAUUCUAUUCCUAUGGCCUGUGUCCUCUGUGUUUAGUCUAUAACCUGGGAGACUGGCACUGGCCUGUCUCAGAACCUUCCCUACCUGUCUGGAGAGAAUCACAUUCAUUCCCUACAGGAAAACCCAACUCUGUUCAACCAUACAGGCCAUCUACAACGCAGUGAAUGUUUACAGUACGACGCCAGACAUUUUCUGUUGAUGUCUGUCUGGACAUCUCAGCACAGAGAGAAUGAUGUUGAUGUCUGUCUGGACAUCUCAGCUCAGAGAGAAUGAUGUUGAUGUCUGUCUGGACAUCUCAGCUCAGAGAGAAUGAUGUUGAUGUCUGUCUGGACAUCUCAGCUCAGAGAGAAUGAUGUUGAUGUCUGUCUGGACAUCUCAGCUCAGAGAGAAUGAUGUUGAUGUCUGUCUGGACAUCUCAGCUCAGAGAGAAUGAUGUUGAUGUCUGUCUGGACAUCUCAGCUCAGAGAGAAUUAUGUUGAUGUCUGUCUGGACAUCUCAGCUCAGAGAGAAUGAUGUUGAUGUCUGUCUGGACAUCUCAGCUCAGAGAGAAUGAUGUUGAUGUCUGUCUGGACAUCUCAGCUCAGAGAGAAUGAUAUUGAUGUCUGUCUGGACAUCUCAGCUCAGAGAGAAUGAUGUUGAUGUCUGUCUGGACAUCUCAGCUCAGAGAGAAUGAUGUUGAUGUCUGUCUGGACAUCUCAGCUCAGAGAGAAUGAUGUUGAUGUCUGUCUGGACAUCUCAGCUCAGAGAGAAUGAUGUUGAUGUCUGUCUGGACAUCUCAGCUC